GAUGAAUGCUGGCGGCGUGCCUAACACAUGCAAGUCGAGCGGCAGCGCGGGGUGCUUGCACCCUGUCGGCGAGCGGCGAACGGCUGAGUAACGCGUAGGAAUUUUCCCCAAAGUGAGGAAUAACUUCCCGAAAGGGUAGCUAAUGCCGCAUAUGGUCUUCGGAUUAAAGGAUUUAUCCGCUUUGGGAGAAGCCUGCGUUGGAUUAGGUUGUUGGUAGGGUAAUGGCCUACCAAGCCGACGAUCCAUAGCUGGUCUGAGAGGAUGAUCAGCCAGACUGGAACUGAGACACGGUCCAGACUCCUACGGGAGGCAGCAGUGAGGAAUCUUCCACAAUGGGCGAAAGCCUGAUGGAGCAACGACGCGUGAAGGAUGAAGGCCUUCGGGUUGUAAACUGCUUUUAUGAGUGAAGAAUAUGACGGUAACUCAUGAAUAAGCACCGGCUAACUACGUG
Molecule: ribosomal RNA, 451 nt
Filed under: uncultured bacterium
Lineage: Bacteria
Description: partial 16S ribosomal RNA
Rfam family: Bacterial small subunit ribosomal RNA
Source: RNAcentral